AUUUCGUCUCCUUCUUCUCGACCUCAUUUUUCUCUCUUUCUUUUUAAUCUUCAAAAUGUUGCUUGAACAAUUAGUAACCAAAUUCUGCCAUUCAUCUUCUCUCUCUGCGCUAUCAGUUGGAUCCUCAACGUCAAAUGCUGCUUUGGAGGUCAAAUGAUGUCAGCUAUAGUUCAAAUGCACGGAUUUUGCAGCUGAUUGAGGUCGUUGCUUGGAUUUGUUGGUAUACAUACAUUUGAAGAUGGUCAGAGAAACGGCUGGAGAGACGUGGUUUGGUAAUAUAUGGAAGAGUUCGCGUAAGAGCAUAUCGUGGGAGCCUGAGAGACCAGUGGUUGGAAUUUUGGCUUUUGAAAUAUCAAGGUUGAUGUCGAAGUUGGUUAGUAUAUGGCAGAGUCUCACUGAGGGACGAGUUGUGAGGUUACGGGAAGAAAUUGCAAACUCAGUCGGUAUACAGAAGCUUGUUUCUGAAGAUGUAGAUUAUCUUAUGGAGCUUGUUCUUGCUGAGAUAGUUGAGAAUUUGAGAAGUGUGGCGAAGUCGGUGGUUGUGUUUGGAAAGAAGUGCACAGACUCGGAAUACCACAAUCUGGAAAUAAUUUUUGAUGAUGUAGUUAAGAUUGAUCCAAAGUGGCAUAGUUGGCAGUUUAAGCCGAAGAAGAUGGAGAAGAAAGUGAAGAAAAUGGAGAGGUUUGUGGCGGCAACAGAACAGCUAUUUCAAGAGCUUGAAGUGUUAGCGGAGCUUGAGCAGAGCCUGAGGCGUACGCAAGCUGGUGCAGAUUCAGGUGGGGUGAAAUUGCUUGAGUUCCAGCAGAAGGUCGUGUGGCAACGCCAGGAAGUGAAGAAUCUUCGGGAGAUGUCUCCUUGGGUUAAAACAUAUGAUUACAUUGUUCGGCUUCUUUUGAGAUCUAUUCUCACCAUUGUUGAGAGGAUCAAAACUGUUUACGGGACUAAACAGAGUGGAAAUGUAGAAGGUUGCAUUGGUAACGAACAUACAAACAUUGACUACCUUGUGUGUAGUAAUUCCAUGUCCACUGGGCGGCAAAUGUCAUUUCAUCAAUCACAAUCCAACUCUUCCAGAUUUACAGUUCCUUUAGGAAGGUCGUUUUCAAAUUUGGGCCUUGGAGGAGGUGGCAAGAGCAAGUCAAAGGACAUAAAAAACCAUCGUCGGUCUGAAUCAUCUCUCUCCUCUGGGAAACAACAUCCAGCAAAAACUCGAAUAUUUGCUCCUACUGGAUUGACAGGAUGCAUGACCCGGGGAAGUGAAUCUCCCGUUGUAGAUAGUUGCACACCUUCAUGUGGCAGCUCAGCCAGGCCAUAUGAUGUUUCUCUAAAACAUGCAAUUGAAGUGAAAAAUUUCAAAGAAGUGGCAGUCGCUUAUGGUGGCAUAACCUCUACAAAAAUUUCUCUCUUUAAUUCCAAACGGCAUCUGCUGGAAGCUUCGCCUUCUACUCUUGGUUAUGCUGCAUUGGCCCUGCACUAUGCCAAUGUCAUCAUAUUGAUUGAAAAGUUAGCUUCCGCGCCUCAUUUAAUUAGCCUUGAUGCAAGAGACGAUCUUUACUAUAUGUUGCCUGCAACUAUCAAAAGCUCUCUGAGGGCAAAGCUGAAAACAUUUUCAAGAACUUCGGCUUCAUGUUUCUACGAUGCUGCAUUUGCAGCUCAGUGGAGCUUAGCGAUUACAACAAUAUUGGACUGGCUGUCUCCACUUGCUCAUAACAUGGUAAGAUGGCAAUCUGAGCGGAACGUUGAAAGGCAGAGAUUGGUAUGUGGGUCUAAUAUUCAUCUUGUCCAGACACUUUACUUUGCACAUCAAAGGGAGACAGAGGCAGCAAUUGUAGAACUCCUGAUGGGCUUAAAUUACCUCUCUAGAUUUGGAAGUGUUAGUCUGAAACCAUUUCAGGAGUCAUCGUGUAGUCAGGCAUAUGAUGGUUAUGCAUUUCCCACUGAUAACAUGUACUACAAGAUUAUUGACGAUUCAUCAUGACAGAAAUGUGAUGUUCCUACACACAACCCACGAUUGGCGAAAAACUUUCAUGUGGCUUAGUCUGACAUUGUGUUUUUUCCACUCAUGCCGAGCACAAUGUUUUCUUCAAAGUCUCCUCCCCUCCCAGAAAUGAAAAGGUUUGGUCAUUUCUGCUUUUGAGGGUGACCCGAUCAAUCUCUGCUUUGAGCUUCCUCAUGGAAUCAGGACUUCGUAAUAGCUCUGCCAUCGCCCAGACAGUGGUAUUGCUUGUAGUCUCGGUUCCACCAAAGAACAUUUCCUGCAGCAGAAAAAGGUACAUGUGAAGCUCUUAAUUCUAUAUAUCUUUUUUAUGUUAUCAAAAUGCAUUAUUACCAGUAUUAUGAUGUUGAUAUUCUUCUCUGAGAGCUUGUCAACCGAUCCUUUGCCAUCACCUUCAUAAUCCAGUAACGCAUCGAGGAAAUCUCUCGUAUGGUUACCUCUCUGCAAAUUCCUCUCACGAAUUCUUUGUUGCACAAAUACUGAAGCUAUCUUCAACAGCUGUUCCAGGUACGUCCCUGUGCGUCUCCUGAUUCCCUGAGGAUCAAGCCAUUUCAAGAACUCGAAUGCAUCUACCACAUUAGGCUUCCCCUGCCAGCAAAUGAAGUUUCUCAUGGCCUCCAAGAACACGUUCCUCGUCUCGAACUUGUAGUCCAUUAUAUCUCUCGUGAGCAUGAAAUUGCUGACUAGAUUAAAGCUCAUGAUCAUCCUAGGCUUGUCAAACCCUUAGGGAAAACAAGAAACAUUCGUCAAACAACGACAGACACAAUUUAAAUUAAACGGGUCAGGAUAAAUGUUCAUUACAUAUCACAAAUAAUGCAUUAUAGAAUCUAAA
This is an RNA transcript of Salvia splendens (bonfire salvia), 2825 nucleotides long. It is a transcript of the gene named protein PSK SIMULATOR 3, with no coding region annotated. The transcript has 3 exons. The record is from RefSeq and is a predicted model, not a curated record. NCBI's taxonomy places the organism in Eukaryota, Viridiplantae, Streptophyta, Magnoliopsida, Lamiales, Lamiaceae.